UUCCACAGGAGGACCUGCUCGUGUGACUGCACCCCAGAUCCUGUGUCCAUCGUGUCGUGUUGUGGACUGGGUCCUGCUGUAAGGGAAGGCUGCUCCUUCCCUGCUCCACACGCACAGUGCUCUGAACUGGCUCAGAACACAGAAGACUCUGAUUUGGAAUCAUGUCGGGGAGCAUGGUGAGGAAGGUCCAGCCUUUCACGAUUGGGACACGGCUGUCGGUCCCCACUGUGCCGAAGUGCCCAGAGUUUGUAGCCACCUUCUUGCCGAGCCAGGCCCUGGACAUCUGCGGGUCAGGGACACACCUGAUCCAAGCACCUUGUGGCACCGAGUCGCCUGGCGGCCAGGUGUUGUUGACCCAGGCGACUGAAGCUGACUGCUGGCAGCAUGAGGUAUCCACAGAAGAUUAUGUCAGCAGCAGCAAUGCUGUCUCCCAAAGCAGUUCCUCUAGGUCUAUCAGGAAGAUUACCAUCUCCGGGAGGACUGGAACCACUGGGGACGGUGAAGCCCAGGUAUCAGACUGCCGUAAUGCCUCACGCACAUCCAGCUUGGAAGAUAACAGCAAGAGCAACACUGCCUCCAACCCCUUACCUGCAAUGACCAACAGGACCUGUGAGGUGGAUUCCUACUUCAAGGUUCUGCUAAGGAAAGAUGCUGAUGUAGUGCUACAGGAACAUCAAAGUCAAGAUGUAGAUGUUGGAGACAAAUCCACUACCAAAGACCAGAUAAUUCUGCUGAGAGCGGUUUCGCCAAAAAGAGAGCUGGUGGAUAGGAUUUGCCCAUCCUUCGCUAACAGAGAAACGCCGUCCUCUCCAGAAGAGAUCCCGGCACAUAAUGACCACACCAUGACUCAGCCCAACAGCUCCUUCAUUAGAGAAGUCCUACAGGCAGAGGAGUGGAUCAGAGGGAAACUCAGAGAUUUGACAAAUGCCGGCAGUGUCCAAAAGGGCCCACAGCAGAACUGGGAGGAAGCAUCACAGACAGUGCAAAGAGAUCUGAAGGACUUUGAGAAUACACUCAUACAGCUGAACCAGAUGGGGGAGAAGCUCAUAUGUGAACAGAAUCCCAGCGCAGACGUAGUGAGGGAUCAGCUGAGUCAGCUCAAAGACCAGUGGCACACCUUGAAGAAGAUGGCCUCCAGUCAAUCCACUGCAGCGCACUUUGGCAGGAAAGUGGACAAGCUGGACACCUGGACAAAGGAGAAGGAGGAGGAGCAGUCACUUGUUGCGUUUUGUGGGGAGAACGUUGACAACGUCCAAGUGACAAGAAGGACCCUGGAUUUGAAGCAAGUCAAGCGGCAGUAUAUAGUUCUUCAUGAAGACUUUAACCACCCGACUUGGAAGCUAGAAAAGCCAUGGAGAAGUGAGAACGAGAAGAAUUGCGUCAAGAGAACGUGGCUUGAGGUUCAGUCACGUCUGAAGGACUGCCAUGAAAAUCUUCAGCUCGCUCUAGAGGUGUCCUCCUUUUACCAGCUGGCUGACAGAAUUCUCAGUGCUAUUACCAAUAAGAGAAAAAGCAUUUCUCUAACAAAUGGCCAGGAGAGUGACCGAGAUAGAGAAUUUAUAGAAAUAACCAGACAAGUUAUGAUGCUGGACACAAUUGUUUCUCAGCUCUCAAGUUUCCAUCCAACCCUUGCCGUCAGACUGACUCAUAAACUGGAUGAGGUAAAGGGAGGCUGGGCAUUCCUACAGGCAGCUCACAGCAGGAAAGAGAAGUUUGAUCAUCCUUCUGAUGACCAUGUCACAAAAGAAGACACUGAGGUACAGAGCAUUUCCAGAGAGCUGCAAGGUUGCACAGAAAAUGAGGCACUGAGGAUCAUGGGAAAGGAGGACAAGGAAGAACAGAAUCGGCUCAAAGGAUGUGUGGGUGCAAGAGAACCUGGGAUCAUUUGGAAGUCAAUGAAUACCCAAGAUGAGGACAAAUUUUCAGUAAACUGUGCCCCAACCAUGGAAAAUGGCUGUGAUGUCAUGGGGAGAGGCCAGACGGAGAGGCAAAGGGAAAUAGAGAUGAGUGACAGCCAAAGCUACCCACCUGGAUGGGACCCUCACCUCCACACACAAGAAGAGCAGUUCACUGCAUCUGCAGAUGAGAAAGUCCAGAGUCUGAUGCGAUCCCAUUGCUCAGAGAACACCAAGAUAGAAGAGUUUCUCCUUCAGUUAGAGCUGCUGUGGGAAGAGCUGAAGAAAAGACACAAGAAGAACAUGGAAGUACUUCAAGAUCUGGAAGCGCUCAACCUGAAGACUGUCGAAGUUCUGAAGAGCCUGAAAAACCUAGAUGUCUGGCUGCACUCAACAGAACCUUCCAUUCAACAGGCCUCAUUGAUAAUGUGUCCUGAGGCUGUGACCAGGGUUGAGCACCAGAGCUGUCGGGUGGACAAAGAUAUGCCUCCCUCUGGUCAAGAGGCAGUGAAGAUUCAGAAGAGGAGGCACAUCCACACCCAACAGCUUCAUGCAAGAAUGGAUGAGGUUGAGAAGCAGUAUCAAAGUGUGCUGACCGCUCUAAAAUGGCAGACCUCCAAUCAACAGGGUAAAGCUGUGCAAAUGGUCAGCCUAGAGGACGUGGAAACACAUCAAGGGUUACCCAAGGAAUGUUAUGGGACACUAGGGCAGAUGGAUUAUGAAAUCAUCAAAGAGGAAAUAGCACAAAUGGAGGAUAUGGUGGCUCACUGGGAUGGAGCUUGGACCUUGAGAGAGGAGAUCCAGGCCCUGCGGGAAGCUUGGGAAAACCUGGAGAGCAGCAUGGGUGCAAAUCGGAGCACAUUGCUACAGCUGGAGCAGCUGCAGAACUUCUUCAGCCAUUACCAGGCAAUGAUUUCACGAACAAGGAACAACCGCUGUGGCUUGUUGCCUGAGAACACAUGGCACGGUGGAGAAGGGUGCGAGGUGGAAGCUGCUUCUGAUUUGGACAUGGAGCAGAAGCUGGAUGACCUGAAAGGCCUUGCUGCUGCAGGGCAGAUGCUUACAGAUGCCGGGCACCGUUCUGUAGAGAUGAUAAGGGAGAGGACGGAAGAGCUGUGGGGAAAACUAGGGUGGAUGCUCAUAUGCCGGAGGAUACAGCAGCACUCGCGGGCCAGUAAGAAGUGGAACCCAGGGGCAGAGAGAGAGGUUUGCUCUGGAACUACUGAUUCCACACAACCACAAGAGGCUGUCUUUGUCGAACCGGAGUCUCACCGACAGCCAGAAGAGAUAAAUGGCAAACAAGAAACACUCUGUAGCAGUCCCCUUCCAAGAUGUGCAAACCCAGAGGAGGGCUGGUGCACACUACAGCCACGGAGUGGGUUGGAGCUGUUGCAUGUUUCUGAAACAAAAGACGAUAAUGCGGCCUCAACAUCAACAAAGGCGCACCUCUUGGAUCCACGGGCACCGAAGUCACCUAUUCUGGUUAUGAACAACCCGGCUGGCCCCUUACUUGGCAACACUGUAAACCUCAUCCUCAGCUUCAGCGAGAUGAAGGAAAGGCAACCACUGGAGCUGAAACCAGAACAGAAGAUGGAAGUCUCAGAACCCAAGCACAGGGUAAGCACAUAUUUGCAUGUGAAAGAGAAUCAAACUUUGGAGUCUUUGCUUGGGAGUAGCAAUCUGACUAACCAAACUUCCAAGUGCGACCCAUCUUCUUCCCUCUCUGCUACACCAUCUGGCCAGCACCAAGACAGCAAAGAGCAAUUCCAGGACUUAUCCAGGAGCAAUACCUACUCCACCUUCAAUACUCUGAAGAGCAAGAGAAGCAAGAAGAGGAGAGAAGCACGUAGGCAUACUGUGCAGAUGAUUAUGGGAAGGAAGAAAGCUGAAGAGAUGACCCCUGCUCAAAGUCAUUUCCUGUACAGGAGCCAUAGCUGGACUUUCAGGGAUAGGAAGAUGAACAAACCCACAGAUGUUUGGAUAGAAAAUGUAGAUCAUCUUGGAAAGAAAACUGAUGCUAAAAAUUCAUGGGAAAAGAACACUAGUGCAGUGUGUUUAGCUUUGUCGGAGGAUCCUUCUGGAUGGACCCAAAGGAUCCUUGGUAAACCUGUCAACAACCACUGCAGGCAUCUCCCACUGGGUUCUAUGUUGAGCUUUGACCUUCCCAAGGACCAAAGUCCCAUCACCACCAUACCAGACAUGAUAAUCAUAGAUCCUUCAGAACCAAAAUGCAGGGAACUUCAUGACCCAGGUACUCCAAACGUAAAGUUGGGCAGAUAUGGAGAUUUAAGUCCUAUUAGAGUGUCACAGUUAUCACCAGAACACAGCAGAAAAACAAUGAAACACAGAGACGAAGAGAUACAUUCCGUAAAAGAUUCACACCAAAAUCCUGAGGUGCAGAGCUAUAACUUGAAAAGGAAUUCAUGCCUCAUAGCAAAUAAAACAGAACACCAUGCUCAUGACCACCUCUCUUGCAAGUCAAAUAUUUUGAGCAAUGACCUGCCUGAGUCAGAUCCCUGUCUGAGUCAAAUCGCAGAUGGGAUUCAAUGUAAGAAAUCUUGUGGCCACAGCCAAAAAACCUGUGCAGACACCAAAACGGACAACUGUGGAACCGCCACCUGUGGUCAUGAUUUUACGUCGCUCUUAGUGAACCAUGUGUGUCCAAGUGUUCACACUAAAAUUCGGGAUCUGAAAGGACAUAUAUAUCAUGCUCCAGCUAAGUGGCAAAGGCCACAGGUUUCAGUCACAGGCAUCGAUACCACAUUUAUUUCAAAGGAUAGUUCCAAAGAGUUGGAUGCUCCUAUGUCUGGACUUGUUGGACAUUCUGCUAGGUUUUUAGAUGUCCACUUGCCCAGGGGCACUGCUGAGGUGGGAUCUCUAGUGAAUGAGGAUGCUGCUAUCAACAUUCAGAAAGAUUCAACUGAACUGGGACUAACAGCAGUGGACGUCCUCCAUCCUGACCAUGGACAGUUUGAGGAGGAAGAGGCAGAGCUGGAGGACAUCUGGAACCAGGUGAAAAUGUACAAUAACCCCCAUAAUGACACCCAUCAGAGUGUCCAGAGAGAUGCAGCUCUCACUCCUCCCUGCCCUUCAGGAAAAGACCUCUAUGAAAACCUGGAUGAAGUCCACAAGAAGCCUGUUACAGUCUCCACACGGAACCUCCUGGUGGCUGAGUUUAAGCUGCCUGCCUCCAUCCAAAGCCUUCUUGGGUACAGCAAAGAAGAGAGCCAUGGAAAGAGAAAGAACCCUAACACAGAAAAAGAGGCAUCCCAGGCCUCUGUCCCUGUGACAGAGCAGCUGAGACAAUCAGUGGCACUGGUGAGCCACACCAUCUCUUGUCCAAGAGAACUUGGUGCUACAGAAGACCAGCAACCGUGCCAUUUUACAUGGAACAAAAUGGGGGAUGAGUUGGAGAGCACCAGUAGUUCAAAGACCGGGACGAAAGCAGAAUCUCAUUCAAUGGAAGGGGUUCUGGAGAUGAAGUAUACAACACAAAAGUCAGGACAGAAGGCUUCCUGUCAAAUGUGGAACACCUUCCAUGCUGCAUUAUUCAACCAGAUGCUGUGCUUCUUCAAGCAGAAAAAGGACGCCAUGGAGACGCCAUUGUCUGAGCUGACCCUUGAUCUUCUUGAUGCUGAGGCCACGGCUGGCCCUGAGUACACUGAGAAACCCAACUGUUUCUGUCUUCGCUUACGGGAUGGCUCAGAAUACCUGCUUAGAGCUGCAUCCCCUUCUUUGACCAGUGCUUGGAUGGAGAAGAUCCAAGCCAACACGGGCUUGAGAAAAAAGGAUAACCCUAAAAAUCAGUCUCCAGACUCUGUACCGGACCUGUCCUUGCCUCUCCACUCCACAUGUCACUGUGCUCCACGACUUGGUAGCCCUUCUUUUCGCUCAGAACAGCUUGAUGUAAGAAACACCAGCACCGAAGAGACUGCGGUUACGACAAGAGACAGUCCUCCGAUGCCACAGUGGCAUUUUGGGAAAACGGAGGACCAAGACCUGUGUUCAGAUGCAGGGCGCAAUGUCGCUUACCAGAAGAUCACACCGGUCGUCCCUCCCUGUGCAGCACGUGUGAGCAGUCCCAGCUACUCUGUGACUUUGCUCAUUGGAGAGAAUACCCCAGACAGCACUCCAGAGUGACAGGUGCCCCAUGGCAGUUUCUCCUCAGUGUGCGAGAGAAGACGAAGCCACAGCUCUGUCAAAGUAAAAGGACAAAGUAAAGAGGACAAAUCUAUGCUAUUAUUAUUAUUAUUAUUAUUAUUAUUACCUUGUAAUAAUAAUGUACCUACCACAUUUUAUUGUUUUACCCUGUUGGACUUUAUGUAGUAUGUAAAAGUAUCAGUAUACUUUUAUAUGUAUAUAUUUACUAUACUUUCAGGAAUGUGACAUCAUACUCAAAUGUACUUUAUGAAAAUCUGAAUACUCAAAUGGAAAUAGACUUAAAGAAUAAGUCAUUGUGUUUUUGUGUUUAUUUUUUUCUUCAUGUUUCUCGCAUUGCUCAUGUACAAAUAUUGCAUCUCUUGUAAGGCUCUUAGAAAAGCAAUGACUGAGAGUACCUGACCAACCUGCUGUUAUUAGCAGUGCACUAAUCUGCUGAAAAGUAAUCAUUUUCAGGAGUGGAAAAAAAAAUCCCAUUUUUCCAAUUUUUUCUGAAACCUUUGUCUUGCAUGCUCAAUUAUUUCCAUUAAAAGAAGUAAUGUUCUGCAUGGAUAACGUUCAAACCUUGCACAA
This is a long non-coding RNA of Scleropages formosus (Asian bonytongue), 6626 nucleotides long. The record is from Ensembl. Lineage: Eukaryota; Metazoa; Chordata; Actinopteri; Osteoglossiformes; Osteoglossidae.